UGGAACCGUGUUUCAGGGAUUGCGGUCGGUGACGAUUACGUCUACUGGGUCACCUACUCGCCAGGUAGCCUCCGAAGGUUAUCCAAGUCCAGCAUGAAUCAGACUGUUAUGUUGGACGGCCUGGGUACUACACGGGGCAUCUACUUGUCCACGCCAUUUCCGCCUAACGUCACCAACGCGUGUUCCUCGUCCAAUGGAGGAUGCCAGGAGCUGUGCCUUGCGAAUCCGGGAGGGAGGGCGUGCGCCUGUCGGGAUUCCUGGGAACUGCAGGAAGAUGGACUGAGCUGUGAGUAUAGAAUAUCGUUUGGCUCGUCUUCAAAAUCAAAGUGACUAAUAAUCAGUGGUGUA
Molecule: long non-coding RNA, 348 nt
Organism: Branchiostoma belcheri (Belcher's lancelet)
Lineage: Eukaryota; Metazoa; Chordata; Leptocardii; Amphioxiformes; Branchiostomatidae
Exons: 3
Source: RefSeq, a predicted model, not a curated record